Pelobates cultripes (western spadefoot toad) is the source of this 302-nucleotide non-coding RNA. Lineage: Eukaryota; Metazoa; Chordata; Amphibia; Anura; Pelobatidae. The record is from the annotation of a GenBank genome assembly.
GUUAGUUACAAAAUUCAGAAUUUGUUUAUUCAUAAAUAAUGGAAACAUCUAUGUUACCUACUGUUUACUUUCGAUAUUAUUAUAUUUCUACAUGUACAGUCAGUGUUAUAAUAAACGGGUACAGGUUUUGCAAUCUGAAAUAUAGGGUAUAGCUGUACUACAUUUGGUGAAUAUUGGACCAUUUUAAAUGGUACUGUCAUAACAUCUCACAAGAUAAAGUAACGCAACAUACUUUUCUACUUCUUAAUAGGCAAAUGACAGAUGACUUAGCAAUGUUAUGUCUUAAGCAAAAGCUAUACAGU